GGGUUGUGAGGUUAAGCGAAUAAGCGUACACGGUGGAUGCCUAGGCAAUCAGAGGCGAUGAAGGACGUGCUAAUCUGCGAAAAGCGUCGGUAAGGUGAUAUGAACCGUUAUACCCGACGAUAUCCGAAUGGGGAAACCCAGUAUCCAAUGGAUACUAUCAUUAACUGAAUCCAUAGGUUAAUGAGGCGAACCGGGAGAACUGAAACAUCUCAGUACCCCGAGGAAAAGAAAUCAACCGAGAUUCCCCUAGUAGCGGCGAGCGAACGGGGAGCAGCCCAGAGUCUUAAUCAAUAGCAGUGUCAGGAGAACGGUCUGGAAAGUCCGGCAGUAAAGGGUGAUAGCCCCGUAUCUGAAGAUGCUGUUAUUGUGAACUCGACGAGUAGGGCGGGACACGUGUUAUCCUGUCUGAAU
Molecule: ribosomal RNA, 411 nt
Filed under: Proteus sp. HMSC10D02
Lineage: Bacteria; Pseudomonadati; Pseudomonadota; Gammaproteobacteria; Enterobacterales; Morganellaceae
Description: bacterial LSU rRNA
Rfam family: Bacterial large subunit ribosomal RNA
Source: RNAcentral